UACAGAGGGGGCAAGCGUUGUUCGGAAUUACUGGGCGUAAAGGGCGCGUAGGCGGCCUUCUAAGUCGAACGUGAAAUCCCCGGGCUCAACCCGGGAACUGCGUCCGAUACUGGAAGGCUUGAAUCCGGGAGAGGGAUGCGGAAUUCCAGGUGUAGCGGUGAAAUGCGUAGAUAUCUGGAGGAACACCUGCGGCGAAGGCGGGUUGCUGGGCCGACACUGACGCUGAGGCGCGAAAGCCAGGGGAGCGAACGGG
This 253-nucleotide ribosomal RNA is filed under the name uncultured bacterium. Its description in RNAcentral is "partial 16S ribosomal RNA". It matches the Rfam family "Bacterial small subunit ribosomal RNA", at positions 524 to 776 of the family's 1533-position model. The record is from RNAcentral.